This 468-nucleotide ribosomal RNA is filed under the name uncultured bacterium. RNAcentral describes it as "partial 16S ribosomal RNA". It matches the Rfam family "Bacterial small subunit ribosomal RNA", at positions 28 to 507 of the family's 1533-position model. The record is from RNAcentral.
GAUGAACGCUGGCGGCGUGCUUAACACAUGCAAGUCGAACGGUGAAGGCGGAGCUUGCUCUGCUGGAUCAGUGGCGAACGGGUGAGUAACACGUGAGCAAUCUGCCCCUGACUCUGGGAUAAGCGCUGGAAACGGCGUCUAAUACUGGAUACGAGCUGCGAAGGCAUCUUCAGCAGCUGGAAAGUAUUUCGGUUAGGGAUGAACUCGCGGCCUAUCAGCUUGUUGGUGGGGUAAUGGCUCACCAAGGCGUCGACGGGUAGCCGGCCUGAGAGGGUGACCGGCCACACUGGGACUGAGACACGGCCCAGACUCCUACGGGAGGCAGCAGUGGGGAAUAUUGCACAAUGGGCGAAAGCCUGAUGCAGCAACGCCGCGUGAGGGACGACGGCCUUCGGGUUGUAAACCUCUUUUAGCAGGGAAGAAGCGAAAGUGACGGUACCUGCAGAAAAAGCGCCGGCUAACUACGUG